GACACCACUCGCCCCCCCUCUCUUCUCCCGUUCCCCGUAACAAGGGUCGUGGGCAAGAGAUCGCGGGGCGGACUCUGAGUGUUCCGGAGCUUACCCAUGCUCCGAGUGCACCUAAUCUCGUGAACGAAGCCUCUCGCGCCCUGCCGCACAGAGUUGUUGACGGCGCUCGCUUCGGCGGCGACUCUCGACUCACCAAACGUGCGCAGGAUGCGGGGCCUCAUUCCGGCGCUCCAGAACUUUAACGUGAUGGAAACCGUACCACUUUCG
Molecule: unclassified non-coding RNA, 267 nt
Filed under: Costaria costata
Lineage: Eukaryota; Phaeophyceae; Laminariales; Agaraceae
Description: ITS2
Source: RNAcentral